Uranotaenia lowii is the source of this 2907-nucleotide long non-coding RNA. RefSeq lists it as uncharacterized. The record is from RefSeq and is a predicted model, not a curated record. NCBI's taxonomy places the organism in Eukaryota, Metazoa, Arthropoda, Insecta, Diptera, Culicidae. The transcript has 3 exons.
AUCAAAUAUCAUACACCUUAUCGUCAAUAUUAUUCUGUUCUGAUUACAUGAAUAGUGACUAUUCGAGUAAUCGUUUCCAAAUCUUCUUAUUUUUGACUAAAUUUUCCAUUUUUCAUGCGUCUUCGCUUAAAAUGAUACACAAAUAUUUUUGAAAGAUACCAGUAAUAUUCCUUAAAACAAAACUCUGAAUGCAUCAGAGUGUGUCUUUACUGACUUCAAAACAAAUAAAAAUGGCGCGUGUUUUUUGUUUCGGUAGCGAAAACGACGGAAUUUAUUUUAUUUAGAAAUUCAUCAGCUGAAAUGUAAGUUAAAAGCAAUUAUGAUUUCCAUAAACUAUUUUUUUAUUGUUACAAUUAUUUUUUUUCAGUAAUAAACAACUCUUCAAUCCUGAGGUGCACCGUUUACUGUUCCGGAAGGGGAAUUCGCGGUCGAAACAUUCGCGGUAACAGCAGCACAUAAUCCAGUAUCCGCCGGAAGCGUUUCAGUACCGCUGCUGGAAUCCGAGGGUCCCCUCUGGUGUGGCUGGUAGAGAAAUCGAUGAAUGGCGAAAGAUGUCCAGGGGACUAAUCGAAGCAUUCGAUACUACUACCCCGACGGCCAGUUCCCUGGAUUGCAUCAAUGAUCCGCACUCACGGCUGUCGGUCACGCGUCAGACUGUUCUACAACGACCAAAAUUGUAUAUUGUUAUGGUUGAAUCAGCAAAACAGGCAGGACACCUUCCCCAUUGCUGAGGUCAUCCACUGUACCCAGCGGCCAGAAACGGCACAGCGAACAUUGUACCAGCACCGAAUUGAAUCACAGAACACCACAGCGAGUAGAAAUUCAAACGACGAACGUGAUGAGGACAGAGACAGAAGCAAGGCAGAGAAAGAAGCCACGCGUGCGGAGCAUCCCGAUAAGGAACCUCUGGCAGACGAUGAUGGUUCACGAUCGUCUGGAAUCACUCAUCCGUGACGCUGUGCUUGUUCUGUCUAGGAACAACCGAGGACACGGCCGUAGCACUCACAAACGGAGCAAUACCUUGGAGGCUCGUGUUCGGCAGCUCACACAGUGCACCCGGCCACAAGUGCGGCAAAGUACCUCUACAUGUGCUCAAAGUAUGAGUCGAACAUAACAACUUUGAUGAAUAAGCGCACCGAUGAAGGUUAGUGAAAAAGUUUUAUUGUUUUGUUAAAGCUUUAAUUUUUUCAAUCCUUCGUUCCAGCUAGCCAAAGUACAGCAGAUGCAAGAAAAAAUCCCCCACCCUGCCGGGCCGCAUAGAAUUAUCGCAGCUAAUUCUGCUGCCGGGCCGCAAAGUUCCCCCGCCGCGCCGGGGGAAAUUAUUUUUUUUCUAUUGGGUUUGAAAGAAAGUCAAUAGCGGUACUGGAGAUGGCAUCGGCACCGGAUUCCCGAAUUGAAAAGUGGUGGCUGCGAAGAAAAAAGUGUUAAACCGAAAGAUUCGAAUCUCCAGAACUGCGGAAAAGGGACCAGCUUCAAUGGCACUGUAACUGCCCGGGCAGAUAAACACAGGAGCAGUUUUAAACAAGUUACCUCAGGGACACAUAGUGACGGUUUCAUUGCACUGUUGACUCAUCUUUUGGCAGUAGAGGUAAAUUAGGUAAAAUCAAUGAUAUUUUUAUAGUUAUUUUUUUUUUAUUUCAAGGUUGCUCCUGGUGUCUGUCGAUCAGCAAAACCGAUCGAACAAAGUGUUCCUACCCUCGAGAGACCUGAGUCUCCUCUCCGGGCAUUGGCUUCAAUCGUACAAAAAUUCUCUCGGAAUGACGUGGAGACCUCUUCUUAGUGAUGAAAUAUGAACGUUCCUCCUAUGAAGGCUUCCUCUGUUCUUUGAGCAGAUCUGAAGGUGUAAUAAACAACGGUAGCUGCAGCCUACAUCGUGUUGACGGUACCGUAGACCCUCUCGCUAAGCGGAUUGCGAUUGUUUAUUGUUGAUGAUCCAGAUAAUUUAGAUUGAGUGCUUUAGUCAGCUACAAAUCGGCCUAAAGAAUGAGAAGGAUAUGAGGUGAAACAUUCGUUUGCACCACGGUGCACAGAACCUGAAGAGUCAACAUUGAAAACAGCGACGAAACAGUCAGGUGAUAAGUGCCUGUAUCUUAUAGUUGGCCCAAAGCUCCAAAAUCAUCCUUUAGCUGCCAUAUUUUGGUAGAACAUUUUGUGAGCAGCGAAUGUGGCGACAUACGAACAAUUGUCUACGAUGUUGGACAUGCAAAUUUUCCAGUGCAAGAAUUCAAAAUAAGAAAUGGUACAUGGGAAUUAAUCUGGAUUCCUCUUUUUUUUUACAAUGGAAGGAGCAGUUGGCUACCGACAUCGCUGAUAAUUCGCAAUUGAAGAUACGUCGUUGACAGUGCCAUUUCGAUGAGCACUCUGCUCCGGAAGCGGAAGCUGCAACGCUGAAGGGCGAGGAAUCCCUGGUGGCUUUUUGAAUGCAGUAAAUUGGAGGUGGAUGCGGUAGACUUUAAUAAAACCUAGUUCGAAGGAGAUAUUGUAAACAAUUAUCAAUUGUCUUAUAUUGAUGAAUAAUAAAAUAUAUGUAAAAAUAUAACGGGAAUCGUCUACUCAUUUUGCAUUUUAUCAUAAAAAGAUCCUUUAAAGAUACACUGUAGCGUCGAAAUAUUGGCGAAGAACGAUUAAUUGAAGAUUACAAGUAUCGUUAUUUUUUUAUGAGAAAACCAUUAAGAAAAGAUUCCACGAAUGAUACAACUCGCUCGGAGUGAGUAGAAAAAAGCAAAAAAAUUGAAUGGUUACUCUACUUAACGACCCGUUCAUUGUAUCGUAAAGUGCGUCCAAACGAUUCCAUUUCAUGAAAAAAUGAUAAGCCUUAUCUUACAUUAAUAAUCCAAAACUAUAGAAGUAAUCUUUUGGGUGUCUUGGGAAGAAGAUAAUGGGAAUAGUCAUAGUAUAAUACUGAUU